AUUGAACGCUGGCGGUAUGCCUAACACAUGCAAGUCGAACGGCAGCACAGUAAGGGCUUGCUCUUACGGGUGGCGAGUGGCGGACGGGUGAGGAAUACAUCGGAAGCUACGUUUUCGUGGGGGAUAACGUAGGGAAACUUACGCUAAUACCGCAUACGACCUACGGGUGAAAGCAGGGGAUCUUCGGACCUUGCGCGUUUGAAUGAGCCGAUGUCGGAUUAGCUAGUUGGCGGGGUAAAGGCCCACCAAGGCGACGAUCCGUAGCUGGUCUGAGAGGAUGAUCAGCCAAACUGGAACUGAGACACGGUCCAGACUCCUACGGGAGGCAGCAGUGGGGAAUAUUGGACAAUGGGCGGAAGCCUGAUCCAACCAUACCGCGUGGGUGAAGAAGGCCUUCGGGUUGUAAAGCCCUUUUGUUGGGAACGAAAAGCAGCAGGUUAAUACCCCGCUGUUCUGACGGUACCCACAGAAUAAGCACCGGCUAACUUCGUG
Molecule: ribosomal RNA, 492 nt
Filed under: uncultured bacterium
Lineage: Bacteria
Description: partial 16S ribosomal RNA
Rfam family: Bacterial small subunit ribosomal RNA
Source: RNAcentral